Molecule: ribosomal RNA, 513 nt
Filed under: uncultured bacterium
Lineage: Bacteria
Description: bacterial SSU rRNA
Rfam family: Bacterial small subunit ribosomal RNA
Source: RNAcentral
AACGAACGCUGGCGGCGUGCUUAAUACAUGCAAGUCGAACGUGAUUCCCGACUUCGGUUGGGAUGAAAGUGGCGAACGGGUGAGUAACACGUAAGUAAUCUGCCUUCAAGUUUGGGAUAACCCUGCCAACGCGGGGCUAAUACCGGAUGUGGUCCUGCAGACCCAUGUUUGCGGGAUUAAAGGUCGCGAGACCGCUUGGAGAUGAGCUUGCGGCCCAUUAGCUAGUUGGUGAGGUAACGGCCCACCAAGGCAGGGAUGGGUAGCCGGCCUGAGAGGGUGUACGGCCACAUUGGGACUGAGAUACGGCCCAGACUCCUACGGGAGGCAGCAGUAGGGAAUUUUGCGCAAUGGACGGAAGUCUGACGCAGCAACGCCGCGUGAAGGAUGAAGGCCUUCGGUUGUAACUUACUGUUGGAUGGGAAAAAGACCUUUUAAGUAGGAAGUUGAUGGUACCAUUCGUAGUAAGCACCGGCGUAACUAACGUGCCAGCAGCCGCGGUAAGUCAUACUCGUA